UUUGUUCAGCUGUACACCUGUCAGAUUUUAACUGGUAGAUGAGUGUUAGUGGCAUGGAGAAAAGAAAAUAGUAAUCAUGAGCGCAGUAAAACUUGUGCAGUUAUAAAUGCUGAUUACACGUUCUCCUAUUAAAAUGUUUUACAUGUAAACCCACUAACAAGACAGCCGUUUGGAACACUCUCUUCACAUUCUCUGAAUAUUUAAACUCCUGAGAUGGACAAGAUUUAAAAAAAUCAAGAUCAAAUCCCUCAAAUUUUAAACUCUGAGAUUUAAAACAAAGAAAAUAAAUUUCUAAGUACCUUAGAAUUAAACAUAAUGUUUAGA
This 324-nucleotide long non-coding RNA is filed under the name Daucus carota (carrot). Its description in RNAcentral is "long non-coding RNA (DCAR_LNC007544)". The record is from RNAcentral. Lineage: Eukaryota; Viridiplantae; Streptophyta; Magnoliopsida; Apiales; Apiaceae.